CACAUAGAAAACACAGAAAACAUCCCAAAUACCCACGUCCCGUGACUCAUCUCCAGAACUCACACAUGACCAACACGACUGAGGUUCCCCGUGAAGCCCCCCACCCCCACCUCGCUCCCGCCGCAGGGACCCGCUGUUCUGAACUUGGCGAUCCUCCCUGGGCACAGCUCUUAAUGACACGUAUGCGUUCGUAAGCCCCACUUACAUCUGUGUGUUCCUGCCGUCUGUGUGCCGGCGACAUCGCCUUCCACCUUCCUUCCGCUCGCGCUCACCUCCCGUCGCCGAGACUCGUGCCCGGGGCUGCGGCUCCGGCCUAUCUGUCCCGCGCGGUGCGCGGCGUGCCUGCCUGUCCCCGCUCUCCUGCCGUCGUCACUGGGGUCGGCGCCACGGAUUCCACCGCUGGGGGUUCGGGACGGUCAGGAUUCGGUUUCCGGGAGCGACUCCAGGGCCACCAGAGGCCACCGCGUCUCCCACGGACGGGUCUCUGCAGACACCCGUCCCACCUUUGCGGACUGGCCGUCGCUGUUGGUAAGGACGACACAGACCCGGGACCCGAUCCGCGGCGAGAAGAAGCAGUGGCUGAGGGCUGGCGUGGAAGAUGCCGGGCGCGUGGCCUGCGGCGUCCCGACGCCAGGGGGCGUGCGCUGCGGCCCCACGACGCCUGACGUGCGCUGCGGCCCCACGACGCCGGGGGGCGUGCCCUGCGGGUCCACGACGCCGGGGGGCGUGCCCUGCGGCCCCAGGAAGCCGGGACGUACGCUGCGGCACCAUGAUGGUGAGAGGAGCAGCACCCCCCAAUAGGUGCCCGGAAAUUGGAUCUGUGGGGACGCCGACCUCGUGCAGGGGCCGCCCUGUGGGCCACCCGCAUAGUCAGAAGGAAGACACGUGCCGAGCCGUGCUUGUCGAAAAUGAUAGGCACCGAGUCUGCAGUUCGGGUCCCUGAGGGACUAAACCUCGUUAGCAGCCUGGCCGGGAGAACGUUUCAACUGUGUUUGCCUCGGGUCCUGUGGCGGAGCGCUCAGAGGACAUCCGUGACACCGGUACCGACCAAACCCACGGCCCACUGGUGGCUAAAAGAUGCUAUUUGUGGACACGAGCAAUCUCCAGGCUCCAAAGAGUGGCAGAGUGGGGUCUGGCUGGAGGAGGUGCUUGCCUGCGGGACCACUCCCGCCCUCCUGCCCCCUCGGGGCGCGGUGCCCACGCAGGUAGGCCCCCAGGCGGGCUCCCUGGGCUUCUGGGCCUCUGCUGGGUCCACGGCUGGGGGCCUCGGGGGGAGGCGGGAGGGAGGGGAGGGACGUCGGCCCGUGUGCUUUCCUGUCCCCUGCCUGAGUCGUUGGCCGAUCGGCCCGUGCCCCCGUCCUGACCCCUGCCCACCUCCCUGCUCCUUGCCCUGGACUCUGGGCGGCUCUGGCCGUGUCUGCUGGGCCAGGUGCCGCGCUGCCCCGGAGAUCUCCCCGCCCCGCCAGGCUCUCCAAGGCGGCUGCCCCAGCAUCCCCCUCACCUCC
Molecule: long non-coding RNA, 1505 nt
Filed under: Felis catus (domestic cat)
Lineage: Eukaryota; Metazoa; Chordata; Mammalia; Carnivora; Felidae
Description: lncRNA (ENSFCAG00000053438.1)
Source: RNAcentral